RNAcentral lists this RNase P RNA (251 nucleotides) under Candidatus Aenigmatarchaeota archaeon. RNAcentral's name for it is "RNase P RNA component". It matches the Rfam family "Archaeal RNase P". From Rfam's summary of the family: Ribonuclease P (RNase P) is a ubiquitous endoribonuclease, found in archaea, bacteria and eukarya as well as chloroplasts and mitochondria. Its best characterised activity is the generation of mature 5'-ends of tRNAs by cleaving the 5'-leader elements of precursor-tRNAs. The record is from RNAcentral. Lineage: Archaea; Nanobdellati; Candidatus Aenigmatarchaeota.
GCGAGCUGAACAGGUAGUUUCGCUUCUCUGUCAAAGGAGAAGUGAGGAAGUUCCCUCCACCCGUCAAGGUGCUGUGGAAUCAGCCAGCUGAGAAGUUGGAACCAGAAUCAGAAACGAAUCUGUUGCCAGCGAUAAGAAUGAUGAAAUGACUUGCUGGUAAUGGAAUGAAACGGUCUGGUAUAACCUUGGGUGCAAGCGUUCGCGCUUAGAUAAAUGCUACCUAAACAGAAGAGGGGCUAUGGGCAGCACGC